Molecule: ribosomal RNA, 804 nt
Filed under: 'Vitis vinifera' decline phytoplasma
Lineage: Bacteria; Bacillati; Mycoplasmatota; Mollicutes; Acholeplasmatales; Acholeplasmataceae
Description: bacterial SSU rRNA
Rfam family: Bacterial small subunit ribosomal RNA
Source: RNAcentral
GAGACCUAGUGAUAGGUAUACUUUAGGAGGGGCUUGCGCCAUAUUAGUUAGUUGGUAGGGUAAUGGCCUACCAAGACGAUGAUGUGUAGCUGGACUGAGAGGUUGAACAGCCACAUUGGGACUGAGACACGGCCCAAACUCCUACGGGAGGCAGCAGUAGGGAAUUUUCGGCAAUGGAGGAAACUCUGACCGAGCAACGCCGCGUGAACGACGAAGUACUUUGGUAUGUAAAGUUCUUUUAUCAAGGAAGAAAAGCAAGUGGUGAACCAUUUGUUUGCCGGUACUUGAUGAAUAAGCCCCGGCUAAUUAUGUGCCAGCAGCCGCGGUAAGACAUAAGGGGCAAGUGUUAUCCGGAAUUAUUGGGCGUAAAGGGUGCGUAGGCGGUCUAGUAAGUCAGUGGUGUAAUGGCAACGCUCAACGUUGUCCGGCUAUUGAAACUGCUAAACUUGAGUUAGAUAGAGGCGAGUGGAAUUCCAUGUGUAGCGGUAAAAUGCGUAAAUAUAUGGAGGAACACCAAAGGCGUAGGCGGCUCGCUGGGUCUUAACUGACGCUGAGGCACAAAAGCGUGGGGAGCAAACAGGAUUAGAUACCCGGGUAGUCCACGCCGUAAACGAUGAGUACUAAUUGUCGGGUUAACCCGGUACUGAAGUUAACACAUUAAGUACUCCGCCUGAUUAUUACGUACGCAAGUAUGAAACUUAAAGGAUUUGACGGGACUCCGCACAAGCGGGGGGACCAUGUUGUUUAAUUCGAAGAUACCCGAAAACCCUUACCUGGUCUUGCACAUGUUUUUUGCAUAACGGU